RNAcentral lists this ribosomal RNA (568 nucleotides) under uncultured archaeon. RNAcentral's name for it is "bacterial SSU rRNA". It matches the Rfam family "Archaeal small subunit ribosomal RNA", at positions 311 to 879 of the family's 1478-position model. The record is from RNAcentral.
CGCGAAUUCGCCCUUCGGGGUGCAGCAGGCGCGAAAACUUUACAAUGCGGGAAACCGUGAUAAGGGGACACCGAGUGCCAGCAUCAUAUGCUGGCUGUCCGGGUGUGUAAAAUACACCCGUUAGCAAGGGCCGGGCAAGACCGGUGCCAGCCGCCGCGGUAACACCGGCGGCCCGAGUGGUGAUCGUGAUUAUUGGGUCUAAAGGGUCCGUAGCCGGUUUGGUCAGUCCUCCGGGAAAUCUGACGGCUCAACCGUUAGGCUUUCGGGGGAUACUGCCAGGCUUGGAACCGGGAGAGGUAAGAGGUACUACAGGGGUAGGAGUGAAAUCUUGUAAUCCCUGUGAGACCACCUGUGGCGAAGGCGUCUUACCAGAACGGGUUCGACGGUGAGGGACGAAAGCUGGGGGCACGAACCGGAUUAGAUACCCGGGUAGUCCCAGCCGUAAACGAUGCUCGCUAGGUGUCAGGCAUGGCGCGACCGUGUCUGGUGCCGCAGGGAAGCCGUGAAGCGAGCCACCUGGGAAGUACGGCCGCAAGGCUGAAACUUAAAGGAAUUGGCGGGGGAGCAC